Long non-coding RNA from Etheostoma spectabile (orangethroat darter), 270 nucleotides. RefSeq lists it as uncharacterized. The record is from RefSeq and is a predicted model, not a curated record. The transcript is spliced from 3 exons. NCBI's taxonomy places the organism in Eukaryota, Metazoa, Chordata, Actinopteri, Perciformes, Percidae.
CCUUUGGCGUCUAUACCAUUGCGCAAGCUGACUCUGCAGGAGACGUAAUCAAAGCUGCCAUUGCUCAAGUGAGAGGGUGUGGCUGAGGGACAUAUAUCAGAAGCUGACAUCAGCAGAGCAAAGAACCAGGUAAAAUCAGAGUACCUGAUGUCAAUAGAGAGCUCCGAGGGACUGAUGGAGGAGAUUGGUGCUCAGGCUCUGACCACUGCGGCAUACCAGCUCCCUGACGCUGUUCUCCAGGCUAUAGAUGCUGUCACCCAGGAUGAUGUG